GACGAACGCUGGCGGCGUGCUUAACACAUGCAAGUCGAACGGAAAGGCCCUGCUUUUGUGGGGUGCUCGAGUGGCGAACGGGUGAGUAACACGUGAGUAACCUGCCCUUGACUUUGGGAUAACUUCAGGAAACUGGGGCUAAUACCGGAUAGGAGCUCCUGCUGCAUGGUGGGGGUUGGAAAGUUUCGGCGGUUGGGGAUGGACUCGCGGCUUAUCAGCUUGUUGGUGGGGUAGUGGCUUACCAAGGCUUUGACGGGUAGCCGGCCUGAGAGGGUGACCGGCCACAUUGGGACUGAGAUACGGCCCAGACUCCUACGGGAGGCAGCAGUGGGGAAUAUUGCACAAUGGGCGGAAGCCUGAUGCAGCAACGCCGCGUGCGGGAUGACGGCCUUCGGGUUGUAAACCGCUUUCGCCUGUGACGAAGCGUGAGUGACGGUAAUGGGUAAAGAAGCACCGGCUAACUACGUGCCAGCAGCCGCGGUGAUACGUAGGGUGCGAGCGUUGUCCGGAUUUAUUGGGCGUAAAGGGCUCGUAGGUGGUUGAUCGCGUCGGAAGUGUAAUCUUGGGGCUUAACCCUGAGCGUGCUUUCGAUACGGGUUGACUUGAGGAAGGUAGGGGAGAAUGGAAUUCCUGGUGGAGCGGUGGAAUGCGCAGAUAUCAGGAGGAACACCAGUGGCGAAGGCGGUUCUCUGGGCCUUUCCUGACGCUGAGGAGCGAAAGCGUGGGGAGCGAACAGGCUUAGAUACCCUGGUAGUCCACGCUGUAAACGGUGGGUACUAGGUGUGGGGUCCAUUCCACGGGUUCCGUGCCGUAGCUAACGCUUUAAGUACCCCGCCUGGGGAGUACGGCCGCAAGGCUAAAACUCAAAGGAAUUGACGGGGCCCCGCACAAGCGGCGGAGCAUGCGGAUUAAUUCGAUGCAACGCGUAGAACCUUACCUGGGUUUGACAUGGAUCGGGAGCGCUCAGAGAUGGGUGUGCCUCUUUUGGGGUCGGUUCACAGGUGGUGCAUGGCUGUCGUCAGCUCGUGUCGUGAGAUGUUGGGUUAAGUCCCGCAACGAGCGCAACCCUUGUUCACUGUUGCCAGCACGUUAUGGUGGGGACUCAGUGGAGACCGCCGGGGUCAACUCGGAGGAAGGUGGGGAUGACGUCAAGUCAUCAUGCCCCUUAUGUCCAGGGCUUCACGCAUGCUACAAUGGCUGGUACAGAGAGUGGCGAGCCUGUGAGGGUGAGCGAAUCUCGGAAAGCCAGUCUCAGUUCGGAUUGGGGUCUGCAACUCGACCUCAUGAAGUCGGAGUCGCUAGUAAUCGCAGAUCAGCAACGCUGCGGUGAAUACGUUCCCGGG
RNAcentral lists this ribosomal RNA (1343 nucleotides) under uncultured bacterium. Its description in RNAcentral is "16S ribosomal RNA". It matches the Rfam family "Bacterial small subunit ribosomal RNA", at positions 28 to 1378 of the family's 1533-position model. The record is from RNAcentral.